Molecule: ribosomal RNA, 423 nt
Filed under: uncultured bacterium
Lineage: Bacteria
Description: bacterial SSU rRNA
Rfam family: Bacterial small subunit ribosomal RNA
Source: RNAcentral
UGGGGAAUAUUGGACAAUGGGGGCAACCCUGAUCCAGCCACGCCGCGUGAGUGAUGAAGGCCUUCGGGUCGUAAAGCUCUGUGGGGAGGGACGAACGUCCGGCAUGACCUGUCGGGGUGACGGUACCUCCUUAGCAAGCACCGGCUAACUUCGUGCCAGCAGCCGCGGUAAUACGAAGGGUGCAAACGUUGCUCGGAAUCAUUGGGCGUAAAGCGCACGUAGGCGGCUUCGCAAGUCGGAUGUGAAAUCCCUCGGCUCAACCAAGGACGUGCAUCCGAAACUGCAAAGCUUGAGUACAGAAGAGGAUCGCGGAAUUCCCGGUGUAGAGGUGAAAUUCGUAGAUAUCGGGAGGAACACCAGUGGCGAAGGCGGCGAUCUGGGCUGAUACUGACGCUGAGGUGCGAAAGCGUGGGGAGCAAACAG